This 65-nucleotide transfer RNA is filed under the name Emarginoptyx trilucida. Its description in RNAcentral is "tRNA-Arg". Lineage: Eukaryota; Metazoa; Arthropoda; Insecta; Coleoptera; Lampyridae. The record is from RNAcentral.
AAAUAAGAAACAAAAUUUUGUAAUUAGUUUCGACCUAAUCUCUUGAUGAUAAUCAUCCUUAUUUA